CGCUGUAAAGCUAAUAAGCAUUAACCUUUUAAGUUAAAGAUUGGGAUAAACCUAUCCCUACAGCGA
RNAcentral lists this transfer RNA (66 nucleotides) under Cheracebus lucifer. RNAcentral describes it as "tRNA-Lys". The record is from RNAcentral. Lineage: Eukaryota; Metazoa; Chordata; Mammalia; Primates; Pitheciidae.